GAUGAACGCUGGCGGCGUGCCUAAUACAUGCAAGUCGAGCGAACGGACGAGAAGCUUGCUUUUCUGAUGUUAGCGGCGGACGGGUGAGUAACACGUGGAUAACCCACCUAUAAGACUGGGAUAACUUCGGGAAACCGGAGCUAAUACCGGAUAAUAUUUUGAACCGCAUGGGUCAAAAGUGAAAGACGGUCUUGCGGUCUCUUAUAGAUGGAUCCGCGCUGCAUUAGCUAGUUGGUAAGGUAACGGCUUACCAAGGCAACGAUGCAUAGCCGAACUGAGAGGGUGAUCGGCCACCCUGGAACUGAGACACGGUCCAGACUCCUACGGGAGGCAGCAGUAGGGAAUCGUCCGCAAUGGGCGAAAGCCUGACGCAGCAACGCCGCGUGAGUGAUGAAGGCCUCCCGAUCGUAAAGCUCUGUUAUUAGUGAAGAACAUAUGUGUCCUUAACUGUGCCCAUCUUGACGGUACCUAAUCAGAAAGCCCCGGCUAACUACGUG
Molecule: ribosomal RNA, 497 nt
Filed under: uncultured bacterium
Lineage: Bacteria
Description: partial 16S ribosomal RNA
Rfam family: Bacterial small subunit ribosomal RNA
Source: RNAcentral